RNAcentral lists this long non-coding RNA (6886 nucleotides) under Homo sapiens (human). RNAcentral describes it as "HSALNT0131506". The record is from RNAcentral. Lineage: Eukaryota; Metazoa; Chordata; Mammalia; Primates; Hominidae.
UGGGAGGCGGAGCUUGCAGUGAGCCGAGAUCGCACCACUGCACUCCAGUCUGGGCGACAGAGCGAGACUCCAUCUCAAAAAAAAAAUUAAUAUCUUUUUGUUUCAAAUUGAAGAACCCCUGUUAGCCUUUCUUGUAACGACAGGUCUACUGAUGAUGAACUCCCUUAGUUUUUGUUUGUGUUGGGAAGUUUUGAUCUCCCCUUCAUUACUGAGGGACAGCUUUGCCAGGAUAGUAUUCUUGGUUGGCAGGGCUUUCUUUUGCUUUUGGCAUUUUGAAUAUAUCCCACUCUCUUCAGGCCUACAAAGUUUCUGCUGAGAAAUCUGCUGAUAGUCUUAUGCAGGGAUAAGGGGGGAUUUUUUGAAAAGAGUUGCUUUUCUCUUGCUGCUGUCAAAAUUAUCUCUAGCUUUGACUUUUGGCAGUUUGAUUAUAAUGUGUCUUGGUGAAGACUUCUUUAUGCUCAAUUUAUUUGGGGUUCUUUGGGCUUCAUGGAUCUGGAUGAUCAUUUUCUUCUCUAGUUUUGGGAAGUUUCCUGUCAUUAUUUUUUUUUAAUAAGGUUUUUGCCCCUUUCCCUUUCUCUGCUUCAUCUGGGACUCCCAGAAUAUGUAUACUGUUUUGCUUGAUGAUAUUCCCAAUUCCCAUAGGCUUUCUUCACUCUUUUUCAUUCUUUUUUUCUUUUUGUUACUCUGCCUGGAUAAUUUCCAAUGAUCUAUCUUUGAGUUUGUAUUUUUAAAAGUCAGGGCCUUACUCUCUCACCCUUGCUGGGGUGCAGUGGCACAGUCGGGGAUCACUGCACCCUUGACCUCCCAGGCUCAAAUGAUUCUCCCACCUCAGCCUCCCACAUAGCUGGGACUAAAGGCUGUGCCACCAUGCCCAGCUAAUUUUUGUACUUUUUGUAGAAACAGGGUUUUUGCCAUGUUGCCCAGGCUGGUCUCAAAUUUCUGAACUCAAGUGAUCCUCCCACCUUGGCCCCCCAAAAGUGUUGAGAUUAUAGGCAUGAGCCACCACCCCUGGCCGAGUUCAUUAAUUAUUUUUUCCACUUCAUCACAUCUUCUAUUGAAGCUCUCUAUUGAAUACAAUGUCUGACAUUGUAUUCUUCAGCUCCAGAAUUUGUUUGGUCCUCUUUUAUAGUUUCUUCCUCUUUAUAACUUUGCAUUUUGUUCAUGUAUCGUUUUCCUGGAUUUCGCUUAGUCAUCUAUCUGUGUCCUCUUGAAGGUCACUGAGCUUCUUUAAGAUGAUUACUUUAGGCCAGGCAUGGUGGCUUGUGCUUGCAAUCCCAGCACUUUGGGAGGCCAAGGCAGGAGGAUUGCUUGACGCCAGGAGUUUGAAACCAGCCUAGGCAACAUAGUGAGACUUGUCUCGACAAAGAAAAAAAAAAAAAAAUUAAAGAUGAUUAUUUUUGAAUCCUUUGUCAGAGAGUUUGUAAGUCCCUUUUUUCUUUCUUUUCUUUUCUUUUUUUUUUUUUUUUUUUUUUUUUUUUUUUUUUUUUUUUUUUUGAGAUGGAGUCUUGCUCUGUCACCUAGACUGGAGUGCAGUGGCGCAAUCUCGGCUCACUGCAACCUCUACUUCCCAGGUUCAAGUGAUUCUCCUACCUCAGCCUCCUGAGUAGCUGGUAUUACAGGCGUGCACCAUCACGCCCGGCUAAUUUUUGUGUUUUCAGUAGAGAUGGGGUUUCACCAUGUUGGUCAGGCUGGUCUCGAACUCCUGACCUUGUGAUCUGCCUGCCUUGGCCUCCCAAAGUGUUGGGAUUACAGGUGUAAGCCACUGAGCCUGGCCAUUAAGUCCCCAUUUCUUUGGGGUCAACUAUUAGAGCUUUAUUUUGUUGCUUUAAAGGUGUCAUAUUUCCUUGAUUCUUUGUAUAUAUAUAUUUUUGAAGACUUGCGCUGCUAUCUUCACAUUUGAAGAAGCGGUCACCUCCUUUAGUCUUACUUGUUUCUUAUUAAAAUUUUUUUAAUGUUUUUUUUUAAGAGAUGGGAUCUCACUAUGUUGCCCAGGGUGGUCUCAAACUCCUGGCCUCAAGUGAUCCUCCCACCUCAGCCUCCCAAAGUGCUGAGAUUACAGGUGUAAGCUACCAUGCCUGGCUGUCCCCCAGUCUUUGUUGACUGGCUUUGGGAGAGAAAGACCUUCAUCAGUCAUCCUAGCUAAGGAUUUGAGGGAUCGCUCAGAUCUUUUCUGUAGAUACACCCACUCUACUCCUGUUGCUCCCUCUUAGGGAGAGAAGUCUUAGGUUGUAAGCUCCUCUCAAUCCUCCAAAGCUGGGUCUACACUGAGCACCUCCCAUUUUCCCUAAUGCAGUGCUCUGAAGCAUUCAAGGUUGGGCACCUUCUCCCAGUCCAGCAGAGUCAAGCCGGCUGCUCAGAUUUGCAUCUGCCGUUGAGAUCUGUGUACUGUUUGGGAGGAGGGUGCAUGAGACACCAUAUGCUCAGGGGUACGUGGAGUGCUGGGGGCAUGGAUCAGUUGGUUGGGGGGCCCACAGGCAAGUUGUUCUGUGGGUUCAUGGGCGGGCCUCCUGGUGGAGUGUUAGCUGGUUAGUGGGAUCCAUGGCUGGCUGUUGGUUGCUAGGCAUGUCCUUCCCUUCUCCUAGCAGUCCCCAGGUGACUCAGCCAUGCUGAUUCCUCAGUGUUCUGGGGAGAGACACAGGUGGGCUAUUGGGCAGCAUCCUAUAAGGUUGGGGAAGCUGGUGCUCACUCAGCACUCAGUUUCCCCUGUGGGAGAAACCACAGGCCCAGGGGGGCCUCAUUGGAGGAGCACUAGCACAGGUAAACUGAACCUUCUUAGCCUCUUCGGUGUGCUCUCUUUGCCCUGUGGGGUGCUAGAACCUCUCAGUGUUUCUGUGGGGGCAUGAGGGCUGGAACCUCCUAUUCUGUCACCUUCCUGGCCUCUUCCUACAAUUAUUUUUAUGCUCAAAUUGCCCCCGAUUUGGACAGGGGGAGAGCCUUCAGGCUGCUCCUCCAGCCCUCUCACAUGUCCCCAACGUUGUUCAGCAUUUCCUUAUUUUCCAGCACUAGACAUUCUAAGGCUCACCCUGUACUCUCUCUGCUCUUCCCUGGAAAUAGUCAUUUCUCCAAAGAGUUCUGUUCCCUUGGAAUAGAGAAUGGUAUUUACAAACCAAGAAAUGGAUUUCAGGUGUGCCAGUUGUUUCUGGGGUGGCAUUGCUUCUAGGCCCCUUCGGUGGACAGAGCUGGGAAAGAAACUGUGUGUAUCAUAUAUAUCUGCACACGUAAGCUGUGUGUGUAUCAUAUAUAAUACAUCUGCACAUAUAAACUGUGUAUGUAUCAUAUAUAAUACAUCUGCACUUAUAAACUGUGUAUGUAUCAUAUAUUAAUACAUCUGCACAUAUAAACUAUCAUCUGUACAUAUAAACUGUAUAUCAUAUAUAUCUGCACAUAUAAACAGUAUCAUAUAAUACAUCUGCACAUGUAAACUGUAUCAUAUCUGCACAUAUAAACUGUAUAUCAUAUAUAUCUGCACAUAUAAACUAUCAUAUAUAAUACAUCUGCACAUACAAACUAUCAUAUCUGCACAUAUAAACUAUAUCAUAUAUAUCUGCACAUAUAAACUAUCAUAUAUAAUACAUCUGCACAUACAAACUAUGUAUCAUAUAUAAUACAUCUGCACUUAUAAACUCUGUGUAUCAUACAUAAUACAUCUGCACAUAUAAACUAUCAUAUCUGUACAUAUAAACUGUGUAUAUCAUAUAUAUCUGCACAUAUAAACUGUAUCAUAUAUAAUACAUCUGCACAUAUAAACUAUCAUAUCUGCACAUAUAAACUAUCAUAUCUGCACAUAUAAACUAUCAUAUAUCUGCACAUAUAAACUGUAUCAUAUAUAAUACAUCUGCACAUAUAAACUGUAUCAUAAUACAUCUGCACAUAUAAACUGUCAUGUAUAUCUGCACAUAUAAACUGUAUCAUAUAUAUUUGCACAUAUAAACUGUGUGUAUCAUAUAAUACAUCUGCACAUAUAAACUAUCAUAUAUAAUACAUCUGCACAUAGAAACUGUGUAUCAUAUAUCUGCACAUAUAAGCUGUGUGUGUAUCAUAUAUAUCUGCACAUAUAAACUGUGUGUAUCAUAUAUAAUACAUCUGCACAUAUAAAUGUGUGUAUCAUAUAUAUCCACACAUAUAAACUGUGUGUGUAUCAUAUAUCUACACAUAUAAACUGUGUGUAUCAUAUAUAAUACAUCUGCACAUAUAAACUGUGUGUAUCAUAUAUAUCCGCACAUAUAAACUGUGUGUGUAUCAUAUAUAUCUGCACAUAUAAACUGUGUGUGUAUCAUAUAUAAUACAUCUGCACACAUGCUUCUCUGUAUUGAAAACCAAAUUGUCACGGACCACUCCCAUUCUCACGCAGCAUUUAGGGCUGUGGCUAGCCUUUCCCAGCUGUAAGAAACCUGUCUUUCAGCAUGAUAAACACAUUUACUUAUUUGCUCAGUCCUCUAAUAUGCAGAAAGUAGUUUUAGAAUUGCCAAAACCAUACAACUUGGAAAAACAAGCAUGAUUACUUCAAGAUGUGUUUGUAGCUCCUUCUGUCCUGGCAUUGGACGUGGAGAGAAAGCACAGACUGUUCCAAGUUUCAUUUUUCCCCUUCUCUGAAACGCAGAGAGCGUUGUUUGUUUCUGUUUGUAUUUCAUUUGGGUCCUCCCUCUAGCCUUAUUCAUAAAUUUGUAAAUGAUCUUUAACAAUCUGUUAUAUUUAUGAUGUUUUACUGCGUGCUGCCUGUGAAAAUGUUUCCUUCUUCUGACACGUUCCAGAACAACUAGGCUUUUAAAUUCCAAAUAUUCCUGUUUCACAAUAAACCAGAUGAGGGCCUCUGUUGUGCCACAGCUUUUGGAAUGUGGUUUAUUACCAAUAGAAGUGGCUGCGUGGCUUGUUAUGGUUUCAAUUACACGUGAGUAACAACCGGGGCCCUUCUGUGUCAGGUGCUGCUGAUCAAGGCUGGCUAAUGGGGACCUCGCUGUCCAGAACGGGCGUUUCCCAUGGCCCGGCCCAGCUGUUUACCACUUCUGUCUACCAUUUCAGAGGGGCUUUGCGGAGAUUAAAUGAGGUGAAGCGCUCUGAGAACCUCAGUCCUAAAGAAUAGCAGUUAUACUGGUUUUUGUAUUAUAUUUAUAUAUUCUUCUUGUUAAUAUACUGGUUUUAAUGUUCAUCGUUCUCUUGGGAUCCCAUGACAGUGAGCCUGGUGUACCUGAGGUCUGGGAUACUCACACCUCUCCCCAGUCCCAUGCUCCCCACUGUGGCAGUGCCUGUCAGGGACCCUGCUGACCCCAGGAAGCCUCGGUGUCCCCAGCGCUGGCUCUGCUCACACAGGCAGCAGGCUUAGUGUUCUCUGGCCUGGCUGCACUGACUGGACCAGGGACAGGGGAAGGGCCCCAAAGCACCCUGUUCCAGGCAGCCGGCCAGUCGUGGCCGAGGAGCUCCAUUCAACAGUGGCACCCAGAGGGGCCAGGGUCUCAUAAAGCUGGUCAGACGCCCCCUCUGGGUAGGGGUGUAGGAAGCGGCUGUGCAGCCGGGUCCCAGGUAGGGAGGCAUAGAGUGAAGGCUGUGAGCAGGAGCCCUGGGGCGGAGGGCCAGGAGAAGGCUGGGCACAGGUCCAUCGGUGGCAGCUGGGUGGGCAGAGCAGAGAGGCUGCAUCUGCACGACGGCAGGGCCCUGGUGUGGGAACAGCAGACGGGGCCCCUGGGUGCGGCGCCUCCUUCCCACAUCCCUGCUGCUCCUGCAUCUGCUGCUGGAGAAGACCACGACGUGCUCAGACCCCGGCACUGGAGAACUCCAGAUGUGGUGAGGGCUGCACGUUAGCUGCAUACGCACAUCUGGAAGGUGAGGCAGACGUGCCCACCGCCUCCAUGCCUGGCCCACAGUUGUGGGCAUGCAGAGCUCCUCUGUGGCAGGCCCAGGCUGCACCAGCUGCCUGGAGAGGCACUGGGGGCGGGGCCUCACUUGAGGGGCAGAUUCUCCCACCCAGCCAGUCCAGGCCCAGCGGCUGGAGCAUCCCGUCCAGCAAAUUGUCCUGCAAGUUGCCCUGGAGACCCAGCGUCUCUCAUCACGUCUCACUCCCCUGCCAGAUGCCUCUGCGGCAAUAACGAGAGUGGCUCUGCCUUCUGCACUGAAUGCCGACAGGUGACCAGAACAUGACACUGGGGUUAUGCAGUGCCCUGGUUGAUAUUCUAGUUCAUCAGGGAGCUUCUGGAAUGAUUUUUUUUUUCUUUUUUUUUUUUUUUUGAGACAGAGUCUCUCUCUGUCGCCCAGGCUGGAGUGCAAUGGAGCAAUCUUGGCUCACCACAACCUCUGCCUCCGGGGUUCAAGUGAUUCUCCUGUCUGAGCCUCCUGAGUAGCUGGGAUUACAGGUGUCCACCACUAUCACUCAGUUAAUUUUUAUAUUUUUAGUAGAGAUGGGGUUUCACCAUGUUGCCUGGGCUGGUCUCAAACUCCUGACCUCAGGUGAUCUGCCUCCUCAGCCUCCCAAAGUGCUGGGAUUACAGGCAUGAGCCACCUCACCCAGCCAACUUUCUUUUGCUUCACUUUUCCUCUGGUUGCCCCAUCUUUAUUGUCAAGUCCUGUUAAGAGGAACAACAUUAAAAUGAGAGCUUUCAUGGCAAAAAGGUUGCUGUGGGUUGAGCUUGCAAUGUUAGCUGCGUGUUAGGAUUCAGCUGACAUCUGUCUCUGGAGUCUCGCCCUUUCUGUAAUUCGCUUUUGACUGUAAUAAAUGUUGUACAGGCCAGGUGCAGUGACUCACACCUGUAAUCCCAGCACUUUGCAAGGCCAAGGCAGGUGGACCACGAGGUCAGGAGAUCGAGAUCAUCCUGGCUAACACGGUGAAACCCCGUCUCCACUGAAAAUACAGAAAAUUAGCUGGGUGUGGUGGCACCUGCCUGUGGUCCCAGCUAUU